ACCUGGCUAGCUCAGUCAGUAGAGCAUGCGACUCUUAAUCUCACAAUCAUGGGUUCAAGUCCCAUGGUGGAUG
Molecule: transfer RNA, 73 nt
Filed under: Felis catus (domestic cat)
Lineage: Eukaryota; Metazoa; Chordata; Mammalia; Carnivora; Felidae
Rfam family: tRNA
About the family: Transfer RNA (tRNA) molecules are approximately 80 nucleotides in length. Their secondary structure includes four short double-helical elements and three loops (D, anti-codon, and T loops).
Source: Rfam by way of RNAcentral